ACACAAAUCACCCAAAUACCUUGUCAAAAUGCAGAUUUUUAUUUUGUUGGUCUGGGUAAAGCAUUCCAUAUUUCUGACCAGUUCCUAGGUGACCUGGAU
RNAcentral lists this microRNA precursor (99 nucleotides) under Marmota monax (woodchuck). The record is from RNAcentral. Lineage: Eukaryota; Metazoa; Chordata; Mammalia; Rodentia; Sciuridae.